This 1539-nucleotide ribosomal RNA is filed under the name Cytospora mali. RNAcentral's name for it is "SSU rRNA". It matches the Rfam family "Bacterial small subunit ribosomal RNA". The record is from RNAcentral. Lineage: Eukaryota; Fungi; Ascomycota; Sordariomycetes; Diaporthales; Cytosporaceae.
UGAAAGGUGAGUUUGGUGAUGGCUCUGAUUGAACGCUGUCCAAAUGCUUGACACAUGCUAAUCGUACGUUUAAUUUAUGCUUUUCGAAUAUUAGGUAUUUGAGCACCAUGAAUUAUAUUUAGUAGUGGUGUAAUAUCUUUCAGAGGUAUUGAAGGUUAAUUAAAAGUGGUGUACAGGUGAGUGAAAGAUAUUCGGCCGACCUUAAAGAGAGGGGAAAAUCCCUCAUAAAAAAAAAGGUGUAAUAACCGCUUUAAGAGGAAAAGGUAUCUGCGGGAUAGGUAGUAGUUAAGGUAAUGGCUUAACUAGCCAACAAUUCUCGGAGUCGUAGCUGAAAUGGUUGAUCGACCACAUUGGGGAUGAAAAAAUCCCAAGGCAAAUAUGUACAGCAGUGAGGAAUCUUGGUCAAUGGCCUAACGGCUGAACUGGCAACUUGGAUGAAUGGACCGGCUACUCUCUUUAGAAAGGGAGUAGUGCAGGAGAUCGAAUUAUCGAGUAAAGUUCUAAAUAUAUGAUUGAUAAUGACAAUAUAUAUAUUAUGUCUUGACCAAUUACGUGCCAGCAGUCGCGGCAAUACGUAUGAGACUAGUGUUAUUCAUCUUAAAUAGGUUUAAAGGGUACCCAGACGGCAAAAUCCACCUUUAAAAGGUUACUAUUUUGCUAGAGUUUUAUGUGAAGAGGUCGUACUCGUGAGUGGAGAGAUUAAAUUCUGUGAUACCUAGGGGACGGAUAAAGGCGAAGGCAGCCUCUUAUGUAAAAACUGACGUUGAAGGACGAAGGCAUUGCGGCACGAACAGGAUUAGGUACCCAAGUAGUCUUUGCAGACAAUGAUGAAUGCCAUAGGUUAGGUUAAUACUGAAUUGAAUCACUAGACCGUUUCUGACACCAGUAGUGAAGUAUGUUGUUUAAUUCGAUGAUCCACGAAAAAUCUUACCACAAUUUGAAUAGAAUAAAGUAAUUAAAAUAUGAUGAUUAGUGUUUAGCAUUGAUCCGCGGUUUUAGUAUUUUUAUUUAUACAAGUGUUGCACGGCUGUUUCCAGUUAAUGUUGUGAAACUGUGGCAAAAGCCAUGGAAUUAACGUAAACCUGAGCUUUAUUUGUAAAUAUUUUAUUUUGAUAGAGCUGAUUCGUCCAGUAUAUUGGAUCUGAUAACAGGGACUAAGACAAGUCAUCAUGGCCUUAAUAUUGUGGGCUAAAGACGUGCCACAUAUACCUAAACAAAGAGAUGCGAAAAUGCGAAUUUUAGCUAAUCUCAAAAAAUAGGAUAAAAAGGAUAUGGAUUGUAGCCUGAAAUUCGGCUGCAUGAAUAAGAAAUUGCUAGUAAUCGUGAAUCACUAUGUCACGGUGAAUCUAACCUCGGAUUGGUACUAACCACUCGUCACAUGCUGAAAGGAGUACGUGCAAUAAGUUUGCUCUCUUAUUUUAAUCCAGCGAAUAAUAGGAUUCGGGUUUUUUAAUAGGAUUCUUCGUAUGCGCGAUUCUAAUUAGUGUUAAGUCGAAAUACGGUUCAUGUAGUGGAAGUUGCAUGGGAUUGAUUAAAUAU